Molecule: ribosomal RNA, 492 nt
Filed under: uncultured bacterium
Lineage: Bacteria
Description: partial 16S ribosomal RNA
Rfam family: Bacterial small subunit ribosomal RNA
Source: RNAcentral
AGUGAACGCUGGCGGUAGGCCUAACACAUGCAAGUCGAACGGCAGCACAGUAAGAGCUUGCUCUUACGGGUGGCGAGUGGCGGACGGGUGAGGAAUACAUCGGAAUCUACUUUUUCGUGGGGGAUAACGUAGGGAAACUUAAGCUAAUACCGCAUACGACCUACGGGUGAAAGCAGGGGAUCUUCGGACCUUGCGCGAUUGAAUGAGCCGAUGUCGGAUUAGCUAGUUGGCGGGGUAAAGGCCCACCAAGGCGACGAUCCGUAGCUGGUCUGAGAGGAUGAUCAGCCACACUGGAACUGAGACACGGUCCAGACUCCUACGGGAGGCAGCAGUGGGGAAUAUUGGACAAUGGGCGCAAGCCUGAUCCAGCCAUACCGCGUGGGUGAAGAAGGCCUUCGGGUUGUAAAGCCCUUUUGUUGGGAAAGAAAAGCAGCAGGUUAAUACCCCGCUGUUCUGACGGUGCCCAAAGAAUAAGCACCGGCUAACUUCGUG